GACCUGUCUAUCAUGCCCUUUGCAGAACAGCUUCCUAGCCCGGCCCUUGACACCAAUCAGAGGAGUGCAGGAUAUGACGUCAGAAUGGGGGUAUAAAAGAUGGUGGCUCUUAACCUUCAGGCUGCUCUUAGCUUUUCCACUGGCCCACCCUGGACUGUGCAGGCAAAGACCAUGA
RNAcentral lists this long non-coding RNA (175 nucleotides) under Fukomys damarensis (Damara mole-rat). RNAcentral's name for it is "lncRNA (ENSFDAG00000031404.1)". Lineage: Eukaryota; Metazoa; Chordata; Mammalia; Rodentia; Bathyergidae. The record is from RNAcentral.